AAUUUUGGACAAUAGGGGCAACCCUGAUCCAGCCAUCCCGCGUGUGCGAUGAAGGCCUUCGGGUUGUAACGCACUUUUGGCAGGGGAGAAAUAUGUCCGGCUAAUAUUCGGACUGACUGACGGUACCUGCAGAAUAAGCACCGGCUAACUACGUGCCAGCAGCCGCGGUAAUACGUAGGGUGCAAGCGUUAAUCGGAAUUACUGGGCGUAAAGCGUGCGCAGGCGGUUCGGAAAGAAGGAUGUGAAAUCCCAGGGCUUAACCUUGGAACUGCAUUUUUAACUACCGAGCUAGAGUAUGCCAGAGGGGGGUAGAAUUCCACGGGUAGCAGUGAAAUGCGUAGAGAUGUGGAGGAAUACCGAUGGCGAAGGCAGCCCCCUGGGAUAAUACUGACGCUCAUGCACGAAAGCGUGGGGAGCAAACA
This 422-nucleotide ribosomal RNA is filed under the name uncultured bacterium. Its description in RNAcentral is "partial 16S ribosomal RNA". It matches the Rfam family "Bacterial small subunit ribosomal RNA", at positions 360 to 774 of the family's 1533-position model. The record is from RNAcentral.